GUGGGCGUGCCGGAGUGGUUAUUGGGCUUGAUUAGGAAUCAGAUGUGGACUUUGCCCGUGCAGGUUCGAAUCCUGCUGCUCACG
RNAcentral lists this transfer RNA (84 nucleotides) under Ipomoea nil (Japanese morning glory). It matches the Rfam family "tRNA". Rfam says of the family: Transfer RNA (tRNA) molecules are approximately 80 nucleotides in length. Their secondary structure includes four short double-helical elements and three loops (D, anti-codon, and T loops). Lineage: Eukaryota; Viridiplantae; Streptophyta; Magnoliopsida; Solanales; Convolvulaceae. The record is from Rfam by way of RNAcentral.